UGUUACCAUUUUGCCCCUUGUGCAGUCUCGUGUGCAUAUCAAUUGAUGCAGACAAUCCCUCCACAGACAGAGAACAGGUUCUGAAAUUAGCAAAAACAGGAAGACAAGAAGAAAGCUACCCUACUCCAUUCCCUGAAGACCAGAACAGCAGGUGUGCCUAUUUUCAGAGGUGGACAUCAGACUCUACUCUUGUUCCCCCUUGGGAUGCUCUCCUUCCAUUCUGCAAGGUGCUCCUUUCGGUGCUGUGAUGGAACAGUUACAGGGAUAUUUCUGGCAUAAUGCUCAAGGGUUGCUGCAGGAUGAGGGCCUCUUGUCUUGUGGCCCCCUGCCUGGAGGAGGACCUGGAGCUUUUAAAUUAGUGCUGGAACAUGGAGGGGCCAAGGUUGCAAGGAAUGAUUGGGCAGAAAAAAACAGUGAAGGAGCUGACACUAAGAAGGUUCUGCUGGAUUAGAGGUCCUGGUUCUCAGUGGGACUAUCCUUCCACCAAGGAACAUGGUAAGAUUUGUGGAACCCUUUCAUCUCGCAGAACUGAAAUUCCAUAGCUACUAAGCAACAACUGGCCAGCCCCUGGUAAUCACCAUUCUACAUGCUACAUCUAUGAAUUUGGCCGUUUUACAUACCUCAGGUUAACAUUACUUGAUGAUCAGAGGUGGGAUCCAGAGGAGACCCCCAACAACUCCAAGGCUGGUAAGCAAACAGAUGACUCUACCUACAGAGCCAGCCUGGAUUUUUCAUCUGUUGGAAAAGACUCCUCUGAAAAGACUCUUCAGCCUUGCUGGAAAGACCCAUAUCAGGAACUGCAAACCAACACUUAUGCUGCCAAACUCCAGAGAAUAGACUCUUGGAUUCACAUGAUACAUCUAAAGAAAGUACCAAAUCCUGAUUAGAUCUGCACACCAUCUGGUGACCUGAAAGUAAAGAUUUCCUGGAAUUGAAGCAGAUGACAUCUGACAAGACCACUUUUCCAACAUGUGCAGACCAGAUCUGUGUACCUUUCUCUCAUUGUUGCUUCUUCUCUUUCUUUCACAGAAAGACAGGGCUCUUGUCUGCAUUUCUCAAGUCCUUGCAAACUGGGGAAAACUCUUCUUUUGAAGAGUUUUGGCCUUUUGGAAACAGCCCCAUCAUGAUCCUGGGACAAAUUAAUGUUUCACUUGCUUUUUCUGACGGGUUAGAAGGUUCAGAAUUUACAGAGUUUUCUUUCAUCUGAACUAUUAACUAACUUUGGAUUCUUACCCAAUUCAUGGUCUGAAUGUGCAACAUUGUAGGCUAUUUUACCAAUAAUACAUUUGGUUCCACAGAGUUCUUUUGACAGAGCAAUACUGUUUUAAACCAUUUUUAAAGUUGCACCAUUUUGCAAAAAGCUCAUUAGCUAUUGCUUCAUAUUUAUAUCUGUACUAUAUCUUCUCAAAUGCACACAGUUCAUUCUAUCAAUGCACUCUCGCAGUAUCCACAAUUUUGCUUUCAUGGCUGCUUUAAACUGAGACUUCCAGGAGGCAUACAUAACUCUGGGUAUACCUUCAUGGGGAGAACUUUUCUCACCUAAUUCAAAGUUAAGUGCCAAGGAAUAUUUCAGUUGCAUACUUUCAGACGUAGAGUCCUGGUUUAGUAUGGUCACAUAACUUGGAAUUGUUACAUUACUUCUGUGUUGUAUCAUUAUUUUAAGUUUUAUACUUUAUUGACUAUGGAACUUUUUAAAAACUACGUACCCAGCAAGAUAAUGCUGGCUCAGUGAUUUGAGAUGAUCUUGAGAAAAGGUAGACUUUAGAUGGGACGUGCCUAAAAGUUUCUCCCUCCUAACCUUCCUUGUUCUUCAUAUGUGGCUUUAAGUGGUUUCCAACUACUUUGUGCUUUCUCUCCACCAAAGAACAGGACAACUAGUGAAGGUCCUUCCUGGCACUGAGGAACAAAACCACUAAAUAUAAAGAGUCUGACUAUUGAUCAGUGAUACUUUCAAAGAAAGAUCUUAAUCAAAAAGGGGGAAUUGUGAAAAUGGAUAAUGGGAAACCUCACUAAAAUGGAGUCAAAAGAUUUGGCAGGGGGACCUCUCAGCCUACCACUGAACUUCAAUUGCAGACCCAACAGGAAGAGAUGUGCGUUGUAUGUAGAUACUGCUUUACUACCCACAGGAGGAAGAGAGCCUUACUUCCUCCCCUUCCUCCCAUCCUCCCAGCAGUCCUACUCACAAGAGACUCACAACUCAACCAAUGAGAAGCCACUAUACUUCCAACUUCCAGUUUACUCCAAUGGACAUUUUGUUUGUAACAGCUUUCUCAACUUCCCCUUUUCCUUUACAAAAGAGCACUCCUCUCCUAUGUUCUCUGGGCUUGCCUAUGGUUUUGCUGUAGCUUGCUUGUCCCAGAUUACAAUUCUCUGCUAGUCUCAAAUAAAUCCAUUUUUUUUCUGGUAAAAAUAACCAGCAGGUUUUGUUUU
Long non-coding RNA from Canis lupus familiaris (dog), 2430 nucleotides. RefSeq lists it as uncharacterized. The record is from RefSeq and is a predicted model, not a curated record. Lineage: Eukaryota; Metazoa; Chordata; Mammalia; Carnivora; Canidae. The transcript has 9 exons.